Molecule: non-coding RNA, 2444 nt
Organism: Notechis scutatus (mainland tiger snake)
Lineage: Eukaryota; Metazoa; Chordata; Lepidosauria; Squamata; Elapidae
Source: RefSeq, a predicted model, not a curated record
AGGCAAGCCCUUGGCUCUCACAGUGUUAUAUGCUUGUUCAAGAAAGCCUUAAUACAAAUACUUACAGAGUGGAGUGAAAGGUGUUAUGUCAUCAUAUUAUAAAGUUUAAGAGACUCCGACAUGUUCCCCCAGCAUCAGAGUUUCAGGCUCAAAUAAGAUAUGAGCAAUUAAAUCCUCAGAUAUCAUGUGAUUGAAUUAUUUGUUUAUUAAUUUAAUUCAAAGUCUAAGCAGUAUGCAAUAAUUAAAAUAUAAGAAACAGCAAUAUAAUAUUAAUACAGUAAAAUGAUAAGUAAUAUCUGCCCAUUCAUGCACUGUUCAAUCACCAAAAGCUUCUUGGGAAAAUGAUGUCUUAAGAAGCCUCUGGGAAACCAUGAGAUUAGGAACAAACCAUUUCAGAAGAUCACCCACCAAGUAUAUUUGCCUCCAGACCCCCUUCUAUUAUUCCUCUUGAUAAGUAUAAACCAAUCACACCAUGCUGUAGGUCCGUGAUGGCGAACCUAUGGCACGUGUGCCCAAAGUGGCACGCAAAGUCAUGUUGCCUGGCACACAUGGCCUUUCCUGUUUGUCUUUUGGGUUUCUGAUGCGCAUGUGUGCAUGACAAUCAGUUGUCCCUCAUGCACGCAACAAUACCAAAAACUGGUGUGCACAUGCGCACCGGCCAGCUAAUUGUCGGGUGCGCAUGCGUGCCACAACCCAGAAGUUUGGCUUUUCUGGAGCAUGAUCCCUUCGUGAGCAACAGUGCUGAAAACCGGCCUGCACAUGCAUGCCGGCCAGCUGAUCGUCGGGCGCACAUGUGCACUAAAACCCAGAAGUUUGGCUUUUCUGAAGCGUGGCCCCAACAAGCGCAUGUUUCCGUAUGACCUUUUCGGCACUCACAGUGUCAAAAAGGUUCACCAUCACUGCUGUAGGUAUUCUCUGAUUGCCUAGAAUGUAUGUGCGGUAUCCAGUCUGGAAUAGAUGAUUUUAUGGAUAGACCAGGCCCUGAGACCUAUAUGGUGAUAAGAAUCUUCUGAAUUUUCUUGGAAAUAUACUUGAAGCCACUACAGCUACUGUAAUAGCAGUGUCAUGUGGCAGUAUCACACCUGUCCAGUAACCAUAUGAGCUGCCAUAUUUUGCAAUUGCCUAAAGUUUCUAGAUAGAGUUGAAGAGUUAUCCCAUCUAGAGCAAAUUCCACUAAACCAGGCAAGAAGUGAAGUGACAAGCCCAGCAUCAAGCAUCCUAUUCUAGGAAAUUCACACACACACAUACACACAAAUAAACCGUGGCUUAAAACAAUUGUAUUUGAAAAUAAAGAUGUGAACUGAAUCAAAAACUAAACAAACUGUGUUAUAAAUUAAUACAAUGUAUGAUACCAAUGCUAUCAUGGUGCAAAUUUGUUUCUUCAUUUGUGAUGUGAAUUUCCUUUACUUUUUCCCACAGGCUGGAUGCUGCUUUGUUUGUACUGAAGUAAUUUAAAUUCCUAAGUUCUAUAAUAGGUAUGUGGCUUAGUUUCUGUCAUCAUUAUCUUUAAACUAAGCCCUGAUUCACAACAGUGUUUAUUACAUUAUUCUGUAACAAGAGAUAAAGCAACAGUUGGCCCUCUCUCCUGCAAUAGUAUCACGAAGUAUAAAACAUCCUCUUUUGCUUCAAAUGGCCUAGUGAAUUUUUUAAUCUUUGAUAUAAAUCCUUCAGGGAUGAGAUUUCAAAGGACAAAACACACCUGGUGGCAUUCAUGACAAACACAUAAGAAGGAAGGCAGUUCUAUUCAUUUAUAAAUGAAGGAAUACAUUAUGAGGAAAGACUAUACUUACCUGCUAGAAGGACAAGCUUUCUCCCAAAUAAUUGGAAGCGCAUGGAGCUUUUGACAUUGGCUGAUAAGAAGACAAAGGAAUGAAGAUGUACACGUGGCUGAAAACUUCACUGCAGCAAACCAGGAAUGCUUUCAAGAUCAGCUUAAAGGAUGGUCAUUGCUUGUGCAGGGCUGCUUUCCUACUGAAUGUAACCUUUCUUCUAAUGCCUAAGCAGAACUCUUCUUUCUUAACCUGAUCCUUUCUUCUUUCCCUCUCCUUUUUCUAGAGCACUCACCUCAUUCCCCAUCACCCCAUUUCUGGGUGUGAGAUUGACUGGAGAAUGCUAACUGUAUAAGAUGAAUUAAUUUUGUAAAUCCUAUAUAUUAUUCUAUGGACACUUGCAUUAAUAGUUAUUUGCAAAAUAUCGCAAAUUUAUGCUUACUCUGCACAUGUGUUUGUGAUUUUUGGCAACAAUAUAUGUAUUCAUUAUCAUGUGUAGGUCUGCUGUUACAUAUAAGUGAGCAUGACAGAAAUCUUCACAUAUAUAUUUCUCUGCCUACUCAUCCUUUUUUGGAAAGAUUGCAUCAGGAUCAGUUCCAGUAAACUUAUAUCAUCCUAUAGGAAGGGUAAAAGUGCAAAUGUUGUUAAACCCUCCUCCCCCCAAAGAAAAAACAA